This 588-nucleotide unclassified non-coding RNA is filed under the name Penicillium chrysogenum. Its description in RNAcentral is "sequence contains 18S rRNA gene, ITS1, 5.8S rRNA gene, ITS2, 28S rRNA gene". The stretch from base 222 to 374 matches the Rfam family "5.8S ribosomal RNA". Lineage: Eukaryota; Fungi; Ascomycota; Eurotiomycetes; Eurotiales; Aspergillaceae. The record is from RNAcentral.
AGUCGUAACAAGGUUUCCGUAGGUGAACCUGCGGAAGGAUCAUUACCGAGUGAGGGCCCUCUGGGUCCAACCUCCCACCCGUGUUUAUUUUACCUUGUUGCUUCGGCGGGCCCGCCUUAACUGGCCGCCGGGGGGCUUACGCCCCCGGGCCCGCGCCCGCCGAAGACACCCUCGAACUCUGUCUGAAGAUUGUAGUCUGAGUGAAAAUAUAAAUUAUUUAAAACUUUCAACAACGGAUCUCUUGGUUCCGGCAUCGAUGAAGAACGCAGCGAAAUGCGAUACGUAAUGUGAAUUGCAAAUUCAGUGAAUCAUCGAGUCUUUGAACGCACAUUGCGCCCCCUGGUAUUCCGGGGGGCAUGCCUGUCCGAGCGUCAUUUCUGCCCUCAAGCACGGCUUGUGUGUUGGGCCCCGUCCUCCGAUCCCGGGGGACGGGCCCGAAAGGCAGCGGCGGCACCGCGUCCGGUCCUCGAGCGUAUGGGGCUUUGUCACCCGCUCUGUAGGCCCGGCCGGCGCUUGCCGAUCAACCCAAAUUUUUAUCCAGGUUGACCUCGGAUCAGGUAGGGAUACCCGCUGAACCUAAGCAUAUCA